AUUGAACGCUGGCGGAAUGCUUUACACAUGCAAGUCGAACGGCAGCAUAGGUGCUUGCACCUGAUGGCGAGUGGCGAACGGGUGAGUAAUACAUCGGAACGUGCCCAGUCGUGGGGGAUAACGUAGCGAAAGUUACGCUAAUACCGCAUACGAUCUACGGAUGAAAGCGGGGGACCGUAAGGCCUCGCGCGAUUGGAGCGGCCGAUGUUAGAUUAGGUAGUUGGUGGGGUAAAGGCUCACCAAGCCGACGAUCUAUAGCUGGUCUGAGAGGAUGAUCAGCCACACUGGGACUGAGACACGGCCCAGACUCCUACGGGAGGCAGCAGUGGGGAAUUUUGGACAAUGGGCGCAAGCCUGAUCCAGCCAUUCCGCGUGCAGGACGAAGGCCUUCGGGUUGUAAACUGCUUUUGUACAGAACGAAAAGCCUUGGGUUAAUACCCUGGGGUCAUGACGGUACUGUAAGAAUAAGCACCGGCUAACUACGUACCG
This 489-nucleotide ribosomal RNA is filed under the name uncultured bacterium. RNAcentral describes it as "bacterial SSU rRNA". It matches the Rfam family "Bacterial small subunit ribosomal RNA", at positions 30 to 510 of the family's 1533-position model. The record is from RNAcentral.